GCCCCUGUAGCUCAGAGGAUAGAGCAGCGGUUUCCUAAACCGCUUGCCCGGGUUCGAGUCCCGGCAGGGGUACCA
RNAcentral lists this transfer RNA (75 nucleotides) under Dehalococcoidales bacterium. RNAcentral describes it as "tRNA-Arg". It matches the Rfam family "tRNA". Rfam says of the family: Transfer RNA (tRNA) molecules are approximately 80 nucleotides in length. Their secondary structure includes four short double-helical elements and three loops (D, anti-codon, and T loops). RNAcentral also lists the same sequence under 2 other names. The record is from RNAcentral. Lineage: Bacteria; Bacillati; Chloroflexota; Dehalococcoidia; Dehalococcoidales.